Molecule: ribosomal RNA, 292 nt
Filed under: uncultured bacterium
Lineage: Bacteria
Description: partial 16S ribosomal RNA
Rfam family: Bacterial small subunit ribosomal RNA
Source: RNAcentral
GUGUCAGCCGCCGCGGUAAUACGUAGGGUGCGAGCGUUAAUCGGAAUUACUGGGCGUAAAGCGUGCGCAGGCGGUUGUAUAAGUCAGAUGUGAAAUCCCCGGGCUCAACCUGGGAACUGCAUUUGAGACUGUACGGCUAGAGUGUGGCAGAGGGGGGUGGAAUUCCACGUGUAGCAGUGAAAUGCGUAGAGAUGUGGAGGAACACCGAUGGCGAAGGCAGCCCCCUGGGCCAAUACUGACGCUCAUGCACGAAAGCGUGGGGAGCAAACAGGAUUAGAAACCCUUGUAGUCC